This 506-nucleotide ribosomal RNA is filed under the name uncultured bacterium. Its description in RNAcentral is "partial 16S ribosomal RNA". It matches the Rfam family "Bacterial small subunit ribosomal RNA", at positions 29 to 523 of the family's 1533-position model. The record is from RNAcentral.
AGUGAACGCUGGCGGUAGGCCUAACACAUGCAAGUCGAACGGCAGCACAGGAGAGCUUGCUCUCUGGGUGGCGAGUGGCGGACGGGUGAGGAAUACAUCGGAAUCUACUUUUUCGUGGGGGAUAACGUAGGGAAACUUACGCUAAUACCGCAUACGACCUACGGGUGAAAGCAGGGGAUCUUCGGACCUUGCGCGAUUGAAUGAGCCGGUGUCGGAUUAGCUGGUUGGCGGGGUAAAGGCCCACCAAGGCGACGAUCCGUAGCUGGUCUGAGAGGAUGAUCAGCCACACUGGAACUGAGACACGGUCCAGACUCCUACGGGAGGCAGCAGUGGGGAAUAUUGGACAAUGGGCGCAAGCCUGAUCCAGCCAUACCGCGUGGGUGAAGAAGGCCUUCGGGUUGUAAAGCCCUUUUGUUGGGAAAGAAAUCCAGCUGGUUAAUACCCGGUUGGGAUGACGGUACCCAAAGAAUAAGCACCGGCUAACUUCGUGCCAGCAGCCGCAGUAA